RNAcentral lists this ribosomal RNA (505 nucleotides) under uncultured bacterium. Its description in RNAcentral is "partial 16S ribosomal RNA". It matches the Rfam family "Bacterial small subunit ribosomal RNA", at positions 28 to 507 of the family's 1533-position model. The record is from RNAcentral.
GACGAACGCUGGCGGCGUGCCUAAUACAUGCAAGUAGAACGCACAGUUUAUACCGUAGCUUGCUACACCAUAGACUGUGAGUUGCGAACGGGUGAGUAACGCGUAGGUAACCUGCCUGGUAGCGGGGGAUAACUAUUGGAAACGAUAGCUAAUACCGCAUAAUAUUAAUUAUUGCAUGAUAAUUAAUUGAAAGGUGCAAUUGCACCACUACCAGAUGGACCUGCGUUGUAUUAGCUAGUAGGUGAGGUAACGGCUCACCUAGGCGACGAUACAUAGCCGACCUGAGAGGGUGAUCGGCCACACCGGGACUGAGACACGGCCCAGACUCCUACGGGAGGCAGCAGUAGGGAACCUUCGGCAAUGGACGAAAGUCUGACCGAGCAACGCCGCGUGAGUGAAGAAGGUUUUCGGAUCGUAAAGCUCUGUUGUAAGAGAAGAACGGGUGUGAGAGUGGAAAGUUCACACUGUGACGGUAUCUUACCAGAAAGGGGCGGCUAACUACGUG